UGCGGUGCCGGUGAUUAAUUGACAACUAUUAACCAAAAGUUACACGUUACUGAGCAAGAAUAAUCAUCAAAUACCCAAAUUGCUAAAUUGAAAGCUUGAAAAAGUUGAGCAAGCUGGUCUUUGAAAAGUGAAUUAGAUCCAUGACAGUGCAGUACAUCAUGUACUACCAAUUCAAGCGUCAAGUUUGGAGUUGUACUAUUCAGCAAAAUUGUACUGCUGAAGUACACAAAAUACUAAACUAGAGAAACAAAUACAUCCACUAUUUAUAUAGGCAAAAUCAGGCUUAAUGAAAGGCAAGAAUGAGGAAUAGAGCUAGUAGUAGAAGUGGAAGGGGCAUGCAGAGGAGAGUCAUGUGGAUGCAAACUAGCUUACCCAAAAAAAAAAAAAUAUAUAUAUAUAUAUAAGAAGGUUUAGUUUGAGCCACAACGCAAUCCUGUGUUUGCCUCUUCCACUCUUACUGCUAUUCUCAUCAACACUGAUUCAGUACUGUCUUCAUUUUAAGAUUGCAGAACAAGUACAGCAAACAGAAGAAAAAACAAAAGGAAAUGUACCACAAUGCUGGUUCUUUUGGAGGUGAGUAUUUAACUUCAGCUUCAGUUGUGCAGAUUGUGAAGAUGUUCUUUUGCGAGGCAUGUUUCCAUGGUGUAUACUUUCAGAUAAGAGCUUAAGAGUUGAAACUUCAAUUCAGGUUGAUAAACCUAGACUUUUAUCUCUGGAUAUAAUAUGUAUUGAAGGAAGAUUGGAAUUGUCAGAAAAGCAAGAGCAAGAAGAGCAAGCAAUCAAACCGAUCCAAAGGACAAGCAGUGGUUAUUUUUUAUGAGAGUAAUCUGGUUGCUUCUGUACUAAAUGUGCUUUAUCCUUGCUUAUAUACACUUUUUUUGUUCA
Long non-coding RNA from Dioscorea cayenensis subsp. rotundata (Guinea yam), 885 nucleotides. RefSeq lists it as uncharacterized. Lineage: Eukaryota; Viridiplantae; Streptophyta; Magnoliopsida; Dioscoreales; Dioscoreaceae. The transcript is spliced from 2 exons. The record is from RefSeq and is a predicted model, not a curated record.